UACAGAGGGUGCGAGCGUUACUCGGAAUUACUGGGCGUAAAGCGUGCGUAGACGGUAGCGUAAGUCAGAUGUGAAAGCCCCGGGCUCAACCUGGGAACUGCAUUUGAGACUGCUCUGCUCGGGUGCGGAAGAGGGAAGCGGAAUUUCCGGUGUAGCGGUGAAAUGCGUAGAGAUCCGGAAGAACACCAGUGGCGAAGGCGGCCCGCUGGGCAGUGGCUGACGCUGAGGCGCGACAGCGUGGGGAGCAAACAGG
This 253-nucleotide ribosomal RNA is filed under the name uncultured bacterium. RNAcentral describes it as "partial 16S ribosomal RNA". It matches the Rfam family "Bacterial small subunit ribosomal RNA", at positions 524 to 776 of the family's 1533-position model. The record is from RNAcentral.